Long non-coding RNA from Lycium barbarum (goji berry), 828 nucleotides. RefSeq lists it as uncharacterized. The record is from RefSeq and is a predicted model, not a curated record. The transcript is spliced from 2 exons. NCBI's taxonomy places the organism in Eukaryota, Viridiplantae, Streptophyta, Magnoliopsida, Solanales, Solanaceae.
ACCUAUAUUUUUUCCUUUUGUUUUUCUUUAAAAUUACUUAGUCAAAAUCGAUUAUUAUUGUCUGAUUUUUGUUGUAUUGUGUUCAUUUGCUUGAUUUCCAUUGGUUGGAGGGGGGGGGGGGGGGGGGGUGAAAGGUUUGGAUAGAGUAAAAAAAGGCUCAGAUCUGGCCGUUCAUUUGUUGAUAAGUCAUUUAAGCCAUAGAUCUGCUUUGUAAGUUCAUUUCCUGGGAAAGAUUGUUUGUCCCACAUUGAUGUUUUGAAGGUUGAAACAAUUUUUGGGUUUUUAUAAAUAGAACCCUAACCCUCUUACAAAAAUAGUUUUUGGGAGGUCGGAAAAUUUGGAAAAAUUUAAAAGGGGCUAGAAACUUUGAAUUCCAAGCCUCUUAAGUAUAAAAUUUUUAAGACUUCAACUUAGUUUGAGGUUUUCAGAGUUCUAAUUUUUUUUCUUUCUUUCUUGUUUUCGAGUCUGUGUGGCUGAGUGUAGUUUUAGAACCACAAAGGGCUUUCAAAUUCGAUUUUUACCAUGGCUGCACUUUUAAAAGUGCAGAUUGUGAUCCAGAGACUGCUACCCGAUCUCAUAUCUAGCGUUGAGGCCGUUUGCUGACAGAUUUAGGAUGAGCUUCUAUCCAUGCUAGCCCGCCCGAAGAUCUUGUUUUCUGAUGUCCACUUUCAUUCCAGACAUUUUUGGUUAUUUAGUUAGACAACAUACAUUCCUUAGACAUGUUUUGGAUUAAAGUCCUUGUAUGGCGACUCUCAGAUUUUGGGGUUGUAAUAGUUAGGACUUCCACAUUUACUUUCUUAUAUUAUGGCAUGACUAAAUUUUGAUUUA